Molecule: small nucleolar RNA, 95 nt
Filed under: Sus scrofa (pig)
Lineage: Eukaryota; Metazoa; Chordata; Mammalia; Artiodactyla; Suidae
Description: Small nucleolar RNA SNORD81 (ENSSSCG00070020901.1)
Source: RNAcentral
UACAAUACAUGAUGAUCUCACCCCAACUUGUACACUCUCACCAUUUUUUUUUUUUUUAAAUAAGAUCUGGCCCAGAGAAGGAAGUCACUCUUGUU